GAUGAACGCUGGCGGCGUGCCUAAUACAUGCAAGUCGAACGCUGGAACUCUAGCUUGCUAGCUUGAAGGAGUGGCGAACGGGUGAGUAAUACAUAAGCAACCUACCCACGAAGACUGGGAUAAUCUCUGGAAACGGGGACUAAUACCGGAUAGGUAAUCGGAAGGCAUCUUCUGAUUAUUAAAGGUUAAAAACACUGGUGGAUGGGGUUAUGGCGCAUUAGUUAGUUGGUGAGGUAACGGCCCACCAAGACGACGAUGCGUAGCCGGCCUGAGAGGGUGAACGGCCACAUUUGGGCCGCGACCCGGACCCCAAUGCUACGGGGGGGAGGAGUAGGGAAUUUUAGGCAAGGGGGGAAACCCUGACCGAGCAACGCCGCGUGAGUGAUGACGGCCUUCGGGUUGUAAAGCUCUGUUGUAAGGGAAGAACGGUAGAUAGAGAAUAUCUAAAUGACGGUACCUUACCAGAAAGCCACGGCUAACUACGUG
This 486-nucleotide ribosomal RNA is filed under the name uncultured bacterium. Its description in RNAcentral is "partial 16S ribosomal RNA". It matches the Rfam family "Bacterial small subunit ribosomal RNA", at positions 28 to 507 of the family's 1533-position model. The record is from RNAcentral.